This 1977-nucleotide ribosomal RNA is filed under the name Escherichia coli. RNAcentral's name for it is "partial 23S ribosomal RNA". It matches the Rfam family "Bacterial large subunit ribosomal RNA", at positions 711 to 2671 of the family's 2925-position model. The record is from RNAcentral. Lineage: Bacteria; Pseudomonadati; Pseudomonadota; Gammaproteobacteria; Enterobacterales; Enterobacteriaceae.
AGACCCGAAACCCGGUGAUCUAGCCAUGGGCAGGUUGAAGGUUGGGUAACACUAACUGGAGGACCGAACCGACUAAUGUUGAAAAAUUAGCGGAUGACUUGUGGCUGGGGGUGAAAGGCCAAUCAAACCGGGAGAUAGCUGGUUCUCCCCGAAAGCUAUUUAGGUAGCGCCUCGUGAAUUCAUCUCCGGGGGUAGAGCACUGUUUCGGCAAGGGGGUCAUCCCGACUUACCAACCCGAUGCAAACUGCGAAUACCGGAGAAUGUUAUCACGGGAGACACACGGCGGGUGCUAACGUCCGUCGUGAAGAGGGAAACAACCCAGACCGCCAGCUAAGGUCCCAAAGUCAUGGUUAAGUGGGAAACGAUGUGGGAAGGCCCAGACAGCCAGGAUGUUGGCUUAGAAGCAGCCAUCAUUUAAAGAAAGCGUAAUAGCUCACUGGUCGAGUCGGCCUGCGCGGAAGAUGUAACGGGGCUAAACCAUGCACCGAAGCUGCGGCAGCGACACUGUGUGUUGUUGGGUAGGGGAGCGUUCUGUAAGCCUGUGAAGGUGUACUGUGAGGUAUGCUGGAGGUAUCAGAAGUGCGAAUGCUGACAUAAGUAACGAUAAAGCGGGUGAAAAGCCCGCUCGCCGGAAGACCAAGGGUUCCUGUCCAACGUUAAUCGGGGCAGGGUGAGUCGACCCCUAAGGCGAGGCCGAAAGGCGUAGUCGAUGGGAAACAGGUUAAUAUUCCUGUACUUGGUGUUACUGCGAAGGGGGGACGGAGAAGGCUAUGUUGGCCGGGCGACGGUUGUCCCGGUUUAAGCGUGUAGGCUGGUUUUCCAGGCAAAUCCGGAAAAUCAAGGCUGAGGCGUGAUGACGAGGCACUACGGUGCUGAAGCAACAAAUGCCCUGCUUCCAGGAAAAGCCUCUAAGCAUCAGGUAACAUCAAAUCGUACCCCAAACCGACACAGGUGGUCAGGUAGAGAAUACCAAGGCGCUUGAGAGAACUCGGGUGAAGGAACUAGGCAAAAUGGUGCCGUAACUUCGGGAGAAGGCACGCUGAUAUGUAGGUGAAGUCCCUCGCGGAUGGAGCUGAAAUCAGUCGAAGAUACCAGCUGGCUGCAACUGUUUAUUAAAAACACAGCACUGUGCAAACACGAAAGUGGACGUAUACGGUGUGACGCCUGCCCGGUGCCGGAAGGUUAAUUGAUGGGGUCAGCGCAAGCGAAGCUCUUGAUCGAAGCCCCGGUAAACGGCGGCCGUAACUAUAACGGUCCUAAGGUAGCGAAAUUCCUUGUCGGGUAAGUUCCGACCUGCACGAAUGGCGUAAUGAUGGCCAGGCUGUCUCCACCCGAGACUCAGUGAAAUUGAACUCGCUGUGAAGAUGCAGUGUACCCGCGGCAAGACGGAAAGACCCCGUGAACCUUUACUAUAGCUUGACACUGAACAUUGAGCCUUGAUGUGUAGGAUAGGUGGGAGGCUUUGAAGUGUGGACGCCAGUCUGCAUGGAGCCGACCUUGAAAUACCACCCUUUAAUGUUUGAUGUUCUAACGUGGACCCGUGAUCCGGGUUGCGGACAGUGUCUGGUGGGUAGUUUGACUGGGGCGGUCUCCUCCUAAAGAGUAACGGAGGAGCACGAAGGUUGGCUAAUCCUGGUCGGACAUCAGGAGGUUAGUGCAAUGGCAUAAGCCAGCUUGACUGCGAGCGUGACGGCGCGAGCAGGUGCGAAAGCAGGUCAUAGUGAUCCGGUGGUUCUGAAUGGAAGGGCCAUCGCUCAACGGAUAAAAGGUACUCCGGGGAUAACAGGCUGAUACCGCCCAAGAGUUCAUAUCGACGGCGGUGUUUGGCACCUCGAUGUCGGCUCAUCACAUCCUGGGGCUGAAGUAGGUCCCAAGGGUAUGGCUGUUCGCCAUUUAAAGUGGUACGCGAGCUGGGUUUAGAACGUCGUGAGACAGUUCGGUCCCUAUCUGCCGUGGGCGCUGGAGAACUGAGGGGGG